Molecule: ribosomal RNA, 458 nt
Filed under: uncultured bacterium
Lineage: Bacteria
Description: partial 16S ribosomal RNA
Rfam family: Bacterial small subunit ribosomal RNA
Source: RNAcentral
CCUACGGGAGGCAGCAGUGGGGAAUAUUGGACAAUGGGGGAAACCCUGAUGCAGCGACGCCGCGUGAGUGAAGAAGUAUUUCGGUAUGUAAAGCUCUAUCAUCAGGGAAGAAAUAGCGACCUUUGGGUCGCCAGACGGUACCUGACUAAGAAGCCCCGGCUAACUACGGGCCAGCAGCCGCGGUAAUACGUGGGGGUCAAGCGUUAUCCGGAUUUACUGGGUGUAAAGUGGGCGUAGACGGCAGCACAAGUCUGAAGUGAAAUUCCGGGGAGUAACCCCGGAACUGCUUUGGAAACUGUGCAGCUAGAGGGCAGGAGAGGCAAGUGGAAUUGCGAGUGUAGCGGUGAAAUGCGUAGAUAUUAGUAGGAACACCAGUGGCGAAGGCGGCUUACUGGACUGUAACUGACGUUGAGGCUCGAAAGCGUGGGGAGCAAACAGGAUUAGAUACCCCAGUAGUC